UGAGGAAUAUUGGACAAUGGGCGCAAGCCUGAUCCAGCCAUGCCGCGUGCAGGAAGAAGCAUCUAUGGUGUGUAAACUGCUUUUGUACGGGAAGAAACACUCCUUCGUGAAGGAGCUUGACGGUACCGUAAGAAUAAGGAUCGGCUAACUCCGUGCCAGCAGCCGCGGUAAUACGGAGGAUCCAAGCGUUAUCCGGAAUCAUUGGGUUUAAAGGGUCCGUAGGCGGUUUAGUAAGUCAGUGGUGAAAGCCCAUCGCUCAACGAUGGAACGGCCAUUGAUACUGUUAGACUUGAAUUACAAGGAAGUAACUAGAAUAUGUAGUGUAACGGUGAAAUGCUUAGAUAUUACAUGGAAUACCAAUUGCGAAGGCAAUCCCCUGGACCUGUACUGACGCUCAUGCACGAAAGCGUGGGGAGCAAACA
Molecule: ribosomal RNA, 422 nt
Filed under: uncultured bacterium
Lineage: Bacteria
Description: bacterial SSU rRNA
Rfam family: Bacterial small subunit ribosomal RNA
Source: RNAcentral